AAGUCGUAACAAGGUUUCCGUAGGUGAACCUGCGGAAGGAUCAUUACAACGUAUCCACGUACAAACCAGUGAACUGUUCCCAACGGAAUGAGAUACAAAAGCAAUUUUGUAUUCGAGGUUGAUGGCAUGUCUGGUUCCUGCUGAUGGAGUUUCUGGGCUUUUGCCUCGAAACUAGGGCCUGACAUACCGCGAAAGCUUAUGGCUUUCGGACCUCAAGCUCUUCCGUUUGGUUGAUUACCGUCAGCUUGUAAAACCCUUUAUUAACACUAUGUACCAUUUGAUCUGAUCUAUUCUGUCUGAAAACGCGUUCUUGUUGGCUUUGAGUCACGAACCGUCUCAGCAGGAGUUUGAUACGAAACAAAGAACAACUCUUAACAACGGAUAUCUUGGUUCCC
Molecule: unclassified non-coding RNA, 395 nt
Filed under: fungal sp.
Lineage: Eukaryota; Fungi
Also listed under: 1 other name
Description: partial internal transcribed spacer region
Rfam family: Eukaryotic small subunit ribosomal RNA (bases 1-46)
Source: RNAcentral